RNAcentral lists this ribosomal RNA (373 nucleotides) under uncultured eukaryote. Its description in RNAcentral is "partial 18S ribosomal RNA". It matches the Rfam family "Eukaryotic small subunit ribosomal RNA", at positions 592 to 976 of the family's 1831-position model. The record is from RNAcentral.
CAAUAGCGUAUAUUAAAGUUGUUGCAGUUAAAAAGCUCGUAGUUGAAUUUUUGCUUGCCGCCGAUGUCGGAACUUCCGUACGUUCGGCGGCGUGCAUCCUUGGGUGGAACCUGUGUGGCAUUAGGUUGUCGUGCAGGGGAUGCUCAUCGUUUACUGUGAAAAAAUUAGAGUGUUCAAAGCAGGCUUACGCCGUUGAAUAUAUUAGCAUGGAAUAAUAAGAUAGGACCUUGGUACUAUUUUGUUGGUUUGCGCACCGAGGUAAUGAUUAACAGGGACAGUUGGGGGUAUUCGUAUUCCAUUGUCAGAGGUGAAAUUCUUGGAUUUCUGGAAGACGAACUACUGCGAAAGCAUUUGCCAAGGAUGUUUUCAUUGA